GACGGACCACACGAACGUUAUUCGGAAUUACUGGGCUUAAAGGGCGCGUAGGCGGCCCUCUAAGUCCCGUGUGAAAGCCCCCGGCUCAACCGGGGAACUGCACGGGAAACUGGAAGGCUUGAGUUCGGGAGAGGGAAGCGGAAUUCCGGGUGUAGCGGUGAAAUGCGUAGAUAUCCGGAGGAACACCGGUGGCGAAGGCGGCUUCCUGGACCGACACUGACGCUGAGGCGCGAAAGCUAGGGGAGCAAACGGG
RNAcentral lists this ribosomal RNA (253 nucleotides) under uncultured bacterium. Its description in RNAcentral is "partial 16S ribosomal RNA". It matches the Rfam family "Bacterial small subunit ribosomal RNA", at positions 524 to 776 of the family's 1533-position model. The record is from RNAcentral.